This 164-nucleotide ribosomal RNA is filed under the name Chimonocalamus griffithianus. Its description in RNAcentral is "5.8S ribosomal RNA". It matches the Rfam family "5.8S ribosomal RNA". Rfam says of the family: 5.8S ribosomal RNA (5.8S rRNA) is a component of the large subunit of the eukaryotic ribosome. It is transcribed by RNA polymerase I as part of the 45S precursor that also contains 18S and 28S rRNA. Lineage: Eukaryota; Viridiplantae; Streptophyta; Magnoliopsida; Poales; Poaceae. The record is from RNAcentral.
CGACUCUCGGCAACGGAUAUCUCGGCUCUCGCAUCGAUGAAGAACGUAGCGAAAUGCGAUACCUGGUGUGAAUUGCAGAAUCCCGCGAACCAUCGAGUCUUUGAACGCAAGUUGCGCCCGAGGCCUUCGGGCCGAGGGCACGCCUGCCUGGGCGUCACGCCAAA